Molecule: ribosomal RNA, 216 nt
Filed under: Glomeromycotina sp.
Lineage: Eukaryota; Fungi; Glomeromycota
Description: partial small subunit ribosomal RNA
Rfam family: Eukaryotic small subunit ribosomal RNA (bases 40-216)
Source: RNAcentral
GGGUCAGUAGGUUGGUCGUGCCACCGGUACGUACUGGUCUCACUGAUUCCUCCUUCCUGAAGAACCGUAAUGCCAUUAAUUUGGUGUUGCGGGGAAACAGGACUGUUACUUUGAAAAAAUUAGAGUGUUUAUAGCAAGCUAACGCUUGAAUACAUUAGCAAGGAAUAAUGAAAUAGGACGAUCGAUCCUAUUUUGUUGGUUUCUAGGAUUGACGUA